Molecule: small nuclear RNA, 106 nt
Organism: Nannospalax galili (Upper Galilee mountains blind mole rat)
Lineage: Eukaryota; Metazoa; Chordata; Mammalia; Rodentia; Spalacidae
Source: Ensembl
CUGCUCACUUUGGUAGCACAUAUAGAAAAACUGAUUCAAUUCGGAGAAGACUGGCAUGUCACCUGCACAGAGGUGACAACAAAAUCAUGAAGCACUCCAUAUUUCU